GACAAUGGGCGCAAGCUGAUCCAGCAAUGCCGCGUGUGUGAAGAAGGCCUUCGGGUUGUAAAGCACUUUCAAUAGGGAGGAAAAGCUGUGAGCUAAUACCUUACAGCCGUGACGUUACCUAUAGAAGAAGCACCGGCUAACUCGUGCCACAGCBNGGUAAUCGCUGC
This 167-nucleotide ribosomal RNA is filed under the name uncultured bacterium. RNAcentral describes it as "partial 16S ribosomal RNA". It matches the Rfam family "Bacterial small subunit ribosomal RNA", at positions 367 to 529 of the family's 1533-position model. The record is from RNAcentral.